This 1306-nucleotide ribosomal RNA is filed under the name uncultured bacterium. RNAcentral describes it as "bacterial SSU rRNA". It matches the Rfam family "Bacterial small subunit ribosomal RNA", at positions 28 to 1381 of the family's 1533-position model. The record is from RNAcentral.
AACGUACGCUGGCGGCACGCCUAACACAUGCAAGUCGAACGAAGUAGCAAUACUUAGUGGCAGACGGGUGAGUAACAUGUAGGUAUCUACCCUUUGGCCUGGAAUAACACGAGGAAACUUGUGCUAAUACCGGAUAAGUCUUUACGGAGAAAGCUUUAUGCACCAUUGGAUGAGCCUGCACUUGAUUAGUUUGUUGGUGGGGUAAUGGCCUACCAAGACUGUGAUCAAUAGCUGAUUUGAGAGGAUGAUCAGCCACAUUGGGACUGAGACACGGCCCAAACUCCUACGGGAGGCAGCAGUGGGGAAUCUUGCACAAUGGAGGAAACUCUGAUGCAGCGAUGCCGCGUGAGUGAAGAAGGCCCUUGGGUUGUAAAGCUCUUUCGUCGGGGAAGAAAAUGACUGUACCCGAAUAAGAAGGUCCGGCUAACUUCGUGCCAGCAGCCGCGGUAAUACGAAGGGACCUAGCGUAGUUCGGAAUUACUGGGCUUAAAGAGUUCGUAGGUGGUUGAAAAAGUUGGUGGUGAAAUCCCAGAGCUUAACUCUGGAACUGCCAUCAAAACUUUUCAGCUAGAGUAUGAUAGAGGAAAGCAGAAUUUCUAGUGUAGAGGUGAAAUUCGUAGAUAUUAGAAAGAAUACCAAUUGCGAAGGCAGCUUUCUGGAUCAUUACUGACACUGAGGAACGAAAGCAUGGGUAGCGAAGAGGAUUAGAUACCCUCGUAGUCCAUGCCGUAAACGAUGUGUGUUAGACGUUGGAAAUUUAUUUUCAGUGUCGCAGCAAAAGCGAUAAACACACCGCCUGGGGAGUACGACCGCAAGGUUAAAACUCAAAUGAAUUGACGGGGACCCGCACAAGUAGUGGAGCAUGUGGUUUAAUUCGAAGAUACGCGCAGAACCUUACCAACACUUGACAUGUUCGUCGCGACUCUAAGAGAUUAGAGUUUUCGGUUCGGCCGGACGAAACACAGGUGCUGCAUGGCUGUCGUCAGCUCGUGUCGUGAGAUGUUGGGUUAAGUCCCGCAACGAGCGCAACCCUCACUUUUAGUUGCCAUCAUUAAGUUGGGCACUCUGAAAGAACUGCCAGUGAUAAGCUGGAGGAAGGUGGGGAUGACGUCAAGUCCUCAUGGCCCUUACGUGUUGGGCUACACACGUGCUACAAUGGUAUCUACAACAGGAAGCAAGACGGCGACGUCAAGCAAAUCCUUAAAAGAUACCUCAGUUCGGAUUGCACUCUGCAACUCGAGUGCAUGAAGCUGGAAUUACUAGUAAUCGUGGAUCAGCGUGCCACGGUGAAUGCGUUCCCGGGUCU